GUGGCAGCCUUUGCUAUGAAACCAUACGUGCCCACGCUGGGAUCUGAACCAGUGACGGUGAGUUCAUCCAUCCACAUCUCCAAAGCCAGGAGAUAAUGUCCACUUCUUACCUGUCUUUUUAAUGAUGGAUUUUCCAGUGAGUCUAUAAGUUCAAUCAAUUAGUGGUCCUAGUACGAGUAAUGGAAAUGAGAUCAUGUUUACUUGCAGGUGGCUCAUCACGGCCAUAGUCAGUUACACCAGCUUAUAAAGAUAAAAGUGGAGCUCCACCAGUUAGAAGUAUAUAUAAAAUGACAUUUUUAGACCAGGGCUUGGAUCAACACUUUUAGUUUCAAGAAGAGAGUCAAACAUUUUAUUAAUGCAGAGUCCUCUUGUUGGAGUUAAGACAACUACUCCUGCAACUUGGCAAAGUAUGUUUAGUCUAGCACAUAUCAGUCAGCCAUGAAAGACAGCAUUAUCUCCCGCCCACUUGGAACCUUUUAUACUCAAGGAUAUCCUCUGACUUCAGAAUAUCACCUCAAUGACACUUGAGUGAUUGUGUUUGGGUUUCCUCAAGCACCUGCUUUUUACAUAUUAUAAUUUGCAUACUAUGGGAAUAUCUUAAAAUACGUUAUGUCUAACACACAGGAAAUUGCAUAUUUGUUAUUAAUCUAAACUGUAGGCCUAGAAAGCCUUAAGCAAAGACAGGAGAAUUUUUAGAGAAUUCAUCAUGAUUGGUGUACAACCAUGUUUUGAUGCAAGUGUUACAGAAAACAGUGACAGAUGUGCUUUAUCAUCCCCAUCUUCAGCCUUUACAUCACCAAUCAAAACCUUAGAUAAACCAAUACAACCUGGAAAUACUUCUAGAAUUUCUACCCUGAGACCUCUUGCUACAGCAUACAGAGCUUCUAUCAUUUCUAACAGAGAAACACCUAAAAACAAUGAAAGUCUUGUAUCCAAAGCAAUA
RNAcentral lists this long non-coding RNA (943 nucleotides) under Homo sapiens (human). RNAcentral describes it as "non-protein coding lnc-MAGI2-2:1". Lineage: Eukaryota; Metazoa; Chordata; Mammalia; Primates; Hominidae. The record is from RNAcentral.